RNAcentral lists this ribosomal RNA (253 nucleotides) under uncultured bacterium. RNAcentral describes it as "partial 16S ribosomal RNA". It matches the Rfam family "Bacterial small subunit ribosomal RNA", at positions 524 to 776 of the family's 1533-position model. The record is from RNAcentral.
UACGGCGGGUGCAAACGUUGCUCGGAAUCACUGGGCGUAAAGCGCACGUAGGUGGUCCGGUAAGUCGGAUGUGAAAGCCCCCGGCUCAACCGAGGAAGUGCAUUCGAAACUGCCGGACUUGAGUACGGGAGAGGGAUGCGGAAUUCCCGGUGUAGAAGUGAAAUUCGUAGAUAUCGGGAGGAACACCAGUGGCGAAGGCGGCAUCCUGGACCGAUACUGACGCUGAGGUGCGAAAGCGUGGGGAGCAAACAGG